GAUGAACGCUGGCGGCGUGCCUAAUACAUGCAAGUCGAGCGAACAGACGAGGAGCUUGCUCCUCUGACGUUAGCGGCGGACGGGUGAGUAACACGUGGAUAACCUACCUAUAAGACUGGGAUAACUUCGGGAAACCGGAGCUAAUACCGGAUAAUAUAUUGAACCGCAUGGUUCAAUAGUGAAAGACGGUUUUGCUGUCACUUAUAGAUGGAUCCGCGCCGCAUUAGCUAGUUGGUAAGGUAACGGCUUACCAAGGCAACGAUGCGUAGCCGACCUGAGAGGGUGAUCGGCCACACUGGAACUGAGACACGGUCCAGACUCCUACGGGAGGCAGCAGUAGGGAAUCUUCCGCAAUGGGCGAAAGCCUGACGGAGCAACGCCGCGUGAGUGAUGAAGGUCUUCGGAUCGUAAAACUCGGUUAUUAGGGAAGAACAAAUGUGUAAGUAACUAUGCACGUCUUGACGGUACCUAAUCAGAAAGCCACGGCUAACUACGUGC
RNAcentral lists this ribosomal RNA (498 nucleotides) under uncultured bacterium. Its description in RNAcentral is "partial 16S ribosomal RNA". It matches the Rfam family "Bacterial small subunit ribosomal RNA", at positions 28 to 508 of the family's 1533-position model. The record is from RNAcentral.